Molecule: non-coding RNA, 241 nt
Organism: Pelobates cultripes (western spadefoot toad)
Lineage: Eukaryota; Metazoa; Chordata; Amphibia; Anura; Pelobatidae
Source: the annotation of a GenBank genome assembly
UACAGAAUCAAACUUCAAGUUAAAAAAGUGUGGUCUAAUUUAUACUUUCAUGAGGUAUUCUUUUACACAAUAUUGCAAUCCAAACACCCCACUUUUCAAUAUCUAGAUAGUUUCAAGCUGUUCUGAUAUUAUGGUAUGGUCUUUGUUUCAAUACACCACAAAUGUUCUCACAUUACUUUGGAAAAUAUACUUGUAGCAUUGAAGUGUUUGUGGGCUAUCCAUCUCAUUUUCAGCAAUUAAG